AAAAAGGGUUGAGGAAGGAAGGAGUGCCUUGUGCCUACCUCAUUUGGCUUUCAUAAUUUCACCUGAGGUGCAAGUAUUUGCUCUGACAUUAUGAAAAUGAUUGGCCAUUUAGUGAGCAGGAAUUUCUGUAGCCACGAGCUAAUGAAGAGCUGUAAAUUCUCCUGCUUCAGGGGAUAUCCAAGGAAUAAUGCAGGAAUAUUGAUGUGGUCAUUUCCCAGCUGAGAGGGGAGAGGGAGGGAAGGAUCUGCCUUCCCCUGGAUCAGGCACAGGUUGCUGUGAAACCCAGCACUUCAUCACUCAAACCCAGAGACAGCUCCUGCCUCCAGAGGUUUCACCAACAUGCUGGAAUCUGCAGAGGAACUUCCUGCAUCAAGGCAAGUCCUUUCCCCAAGGGUGAAGCCCAAGAAAUUUCAGGAAUGCGAGUUCCCCCCAGGGGCUGACCCUGCCCCAUUUCCCAGGAAUUUAUUCUUACAGACCAGGUAUGACAUUGCCCAACCACCCACACCUCAUUCCCUCAGCGAACCUGAGCUCACUGGGGAUGAGUGAUAAGGGCUGAGGUGGGCAAGCAAUGGCAGGCCAGGGAGGGAUGGGCAGGCUCUGGUGUUUUGGCUGAAGGACUUUUGUUUCAAAUCACCCAGGGAGCUGCUAAGAAUAAAGAAAUUACCUUGGCCAUGACUUCAUCUGCUGCAUUUUACAGCAGGGAACACACCUGAUUUCAGCACCUACCAGAGCCCAGUGUGUUCCAAACCUGGAUUGGACUCUGUGACUGCAGCUCCCAAAGAACAACCAUCCCAUAACCUCUACCUUUAGCCUCCUCAAAGGAUAGGGGGGGAAAAGUCGGAUUUGUAGGAUAUUUGUGAGAAUGACUAUUCAUCUCCAUCUGCAUAUCACUCAGCACUGAAUAGGGCCAGGAGAUAACAAGUUCCUGCCUGCUGAGAGUUCUCUCAGGAGCCUGACAGGGAGCAGCUAUGGGGCACAAGUGUUAAGAAGGAAGGCAGGAGGUGACAGUGUGGCAGCAGACACCAUCAGGCUGCGAGAUGUAGUGGGAAGACAUGCUGUGGGAGGAGAACAAGGAAAAGGAGAUUUGCAGCUGAAGACAGCGAUGCCAAUGGUAGCAGGAGCAGCAUCACCUCCAUGAAAAGUGUCCAACACACCCAGCACUGGGGGUGAGGAGCCUGCAAACAACGAGGGUUUCACCACACCAGCACAGAGGAGAGGGACAGGGCUGGCCACGCCUGCCCCGGGCCACUGAAGGACUGAGCAGAAUGAUUACAGUGACACAGCUGGACAGGUAUUGGCGUGAAAAAAGCAGCAAAGAAGCAGGAAAUAUGCUCUGUUUUAUUCUUUCUUGGGAUAAAAGCCCUUUGCUGAUGUGACACCAGCUCUUGUUGUGCGCAAGAAAAUCGCACACCCAGCCUGGCCUGACUGGCUCCAGCCAUGGCAUUCUCAAUAAAAGAAGUUAUUUUAGCUUUUCUCAGAGGUGCCUGUGAGGUAGUGAAGGAGUUAUGGGGAUUAGGAACCCUUUUGUGCUCUCGCUCAUGUUGUGAUCUCCUUCCUUCCCAGCCCCCUCCGGCUGUUUUCCCAUUAUAAUGCACUAACUGAUUCUGGAGGUGCUCAGAUGUUCCCAGAGCCUCACCCUCGGUAAUUCCUGGUGCCUCCUUUCUUUCAUGUUCCCCGAAGGACACAGAAACAACAAGGCUUUAUCUGCCUGCUGUUAGAUCUCAGACUUCACAGCAGUCCCGCUCCCUUCAGCAGCUCCAGGGGUGUGGGUGACUUUCUGGGCAGCCACCAAGCCACAGCUUAACAAGACAGAGACUGGAUCCUCUCAUUCAAGCAUCUGCUCCCUGGGCAGCACUGCCUCACGCCCAUGGGCUCCAGAUUUGGAAUUUUGACUCCCCAAGCUGCAAAAAUUGAGUUUGGAAUGCACACAUUCCCCAUCCCUCAGAGAG
Passer domesticus (house sparrow) is the source of this 1949-nucleotide long non-coding RNA. RefSeq lists it as uncharacterized. The record is from RefSeq and is a predicted model, not a curated record. The transcript is spliced from 3 exons. Lineage: Eukaryota; Metazoa; Chordata; Aves; Passeriformes; Passeridae.